This 436-nucleotide ribosomal RNA is filed under the name uncultured bacterium. Its description in RNAcentral is "partial 16S ribosomal RNA". It matches the Rfam family "Bacterial small subunit ribosomal RNA", at positions 29 to 507 of the family's 1533-position model. The record is from RNAcentral.
AGCGAACGCUGGCGGCAGGCUUAACACAUGCAAGUCGAGCGGGCAUCCUUGUGGUGUCAGCGGCAGACGGGUGAGUAACGCGUGGGAACGUGCCCUUCGGUUCGGAAUAACUCAGGGAAACUUGAGCUAAUACCGGAUACGCCCUCUUGGGGAAAGGUUUACUGCCGAAGGAUCGGCCCGCGUCUGAUUAGCUAGUUGGUGAGGUUAUGGCUCACCAAGGCGACGAUCAGUAGCUGGUCUGAGAGGAUGAUCAGCCACACUGGGCCUGAGACACGGCCCAGACUCCUACGGGAGGCAGCAGUGGGGAAUAUUGGACAAUGGGGGCAACCCUGAUCCAGCCAUGCCGCGUGAGUGAUGACGGCCUUAGGGUUGUAAAGCUCUUUUCUCCGGGACGAUAAUGACGGUACCGGAGGAAUAAGCCCCGGCUAACUUCGUG